CUCGGGCGGGCGGAGCGGCAC
RNAcentral lists this microRNA (21 nucleotides) under Gallus gallus (chicken). RNAcentral's name for it is "gga-miR-1576". The record is from miRBase by way of RNAcentral. Lineage: Eukaryota; Metazoa; Chordata; Aves; Galliformes; Phasianidae.